Molecule: long non-coding RNA, 606 nt
Organism: Cyprinus carpio (common carp)
Lineage: Eukaryota; Metazoa; Chordata; Actinopteri; Cypriniformes; Cyprinidae
Source: RefSeq, a predicted model, not a curated record
CGUUAUCUCUCAGCUCAUAAAUCUUAAUGUGUAAUAGCUCAAUCCAUAUGUUUCCAUAAGUUUUGAGACAGAAGGGCAGAGAAAACAUCAAGUAGGCUCUGUCACCUAACUCUGUUUAUUUAACCACUCUCAUGUCCACACUGCAUUAUGAUUUACUUUACAGAUCAGUUUACACUGCAGCAAUGUUGUUAAUAGCCUUUUCCAGUCCUGUGAACUCCGUCCUCCUCUUCCCUGCUCUGUCCUUCAUUGCUGUGGGAGGAAUUCUGUUCUUGGUGACCAACAUACAGGUGGGGAAUCUCUUUGGCACUCACCUCUCCACUAUAAUCACUCUGUAUAAUGGAGCCUUUUACUCUUCCUCUGCAGUUUUCCUCAUCAUCAAGGUAAGAGGCAAAUAAAACACUUACAUUAGACAAUGAUGGAAAGAUAAGAUAGCUGGUGAGAUCUUGAAUCAUGAUCGUCACAUCUAUAUCUUUUAGCUGCUGUAUGAGAAUGGAGUCUCUCUGCGAAGGUCUUUCCUUUUUUUGCCUGCUGCUGUGUCAUUCCUCUGUUCCGGACAUUUAUGCUGAUGUCUCGUACACAUAUCCCAUACCCGCUUCCAGGGAACUA